This is a long non-coding RNA of Carassius auratus (goldfish), 753 nucleotides long. RefSeq lists it as uncharacterized. The record is from RefSeq and is a predicted model, not a curated record. The transcript has 5 exons. NCBI's taxonomy places the organism in Eukaryota, Metazoa, Chordata, Actinopteri, Cypriniformes, Cyprinidae.
AAAUCCACGUGACCUCGUCAGUUAUCGCGGGCGCCAUUAACGUGGUGGAGUCCAUGGUGGAAGGCUGUAGAAUUGGUUUUUACAAGAGCUCAAAACCGCUUCCUAUGCUUGGGUUGUAGUCUUCUUUUUCACGUGUUUUUACAAGAGCAAUAAACAGCAUCCCAUGCUUGGGUUUUAGUGAACUUUUUCAUGUGAAUAACAGCAUAGACAUGGAAAGAGAAUGCAUCCUCAAAGCAGUGUGUGUAUACUUAAAAGAGGACCAUCUACAGCUGUUCUAGGAGUACAAUGAUUGCGACUGGGUGAAUGCUAAAGAAGCCAUAGAGCAGAUGGUAAUGGGGAUCUACAUCGUCCAAUCCGAAGGACACCAACCAGGGGAUAAACCUGUGGACGUUGGUAUCGUAUCGUGAUUGAAGGGACUGAGGUUCUCUGCUCUUUGAAGAAUGUAGCUGUAGCAGUGGCCAUGGCUUGGACUUACCCAUGAGAAAACAAAGCUACAUUUGAGGUCAUCCAGAAUGUUUUCUUUAACUUGUAUGGACAAAAACUUUCACCAAAGGUUCAAGCCCUCAAGAACAAGAUGCUUGAGUAAGUUACCUAAUGUGUGUAUUCUCAAAAGACUAAAUCUUGACUUCAGAAGGUAUUAGCUGUGAAUAUACAUUGAAAUAUCAAUAUUGUUCAUCUUGGAUGAUAUUUUUUGUAUUUUUUCACCUGAAAAUUUGCCUUGAAAUAAGAAUAAAGAGAAACUUGUGACAUUCA